CUAUGGGCAAGCCCCCAGGAUUGGGCUCAAUUAUUAUGAAGCGUACCUCGCAGUGUACUGUUGACUGAAUGAGGUUUUCAAAAUUCAAAUGUGGCAAAGCCUGAGCCUAGGCAUAUAGUUUGCUCCAUAAUUUCUCUUUUAAAUGUUUAUUAUGAUGUAUUCAGGUGGAAGGGAGCGUCGAGCGGGGAUGAGAUCUCGAGAUGUAGACGGCAAUGCCACACCCACGAAGACACCAAUAAUGAUGCUAUCAUUGAUAAAUGAUCCUAUUACUGAAUUGUAUGAUCUUGAAACUGGCCCUCAACUUCUCGUAGAGACUAAAAAUGAAUAAUGAAUACAGUUGCGUGUGUACUUCAAGUGGUAUGAUAAUAGCACUACUUAUUAAUGAUCACUGCGUAGUCAAGUUAGAUUGCAUGUCACACAUGAUCAGUACUUACACAUUCAUGCAAGGGUAAUUAAAACAACAGCAGCAGUCAUUUGAUGUCGUUAAUUUCACGUACAAAUAUUUCUGUUCAUCUGUUUCAGGUCUCCUGAUGGUAGUGGUACUUGUAUAUUGACUUACAAUAAUGACAAUAUACUGAGAUUGUAUAAUCUUCCAAAUGAGCUCUACAGCUCUUCAUUCCCUGAUCACAUUCAACCAGAAACAGUGAAUUUAGACACACAAAAACAUGCAUAUGUACAUGUAUUUCUAACAUAUUGCUUUGCUGUCUUUUGUAAGAUCCUGUUGUUUAUGCUAGAGAAGAUGAAAUUAUAUACGAUUAUGCCUGGUUCCCUAGAAUGUCAUCCUAUGAUUAUGCCAUUUGCUGGUCAGUGUGUGAUCAUUAUACAUGUGUAAAUUCAAAUGUAAUUAUGUGUAGAUGAUGUAAGAAUUAAAAUAAUGUUAAUUGAUACAGUUGCAUGUACCUUUAGCAUAAAAAAUUUAAAAUUGUAUAGGCCUAUAUUAAAUUAAUGUUCAUUUCUUGCUAGUGCAAAUUUUCCAUUAUACCAUAGCAACAAACACGUACACAAAAAAUGAAUGUGAGGAAAAUGAGGAAUAUUAUCUGUGCUAUCCUAAAUGCAAGGAAAACUACAUGGGAGUUGCCAUAGUUUGCUGGGGAUAUUGCAGCUAUUUCUGUGGACCAGAGUAUGAUGACAUGGGCCUAUACUGCUAUCAGUGGUGGCCACCAAAGAGCUGUUACAAGCCAAGGUAUGAUAGAGGUGCCGGUACCCUACCUUACAAACCCUGGACCAAUGGAUUGGGAUGCAAUGAGUUUGGUGUGAAUAAUCAAGGAGGAUGUGCAAGGAUUGACGUCUCUGGUAAAGUGCCCCAUUGAUGUUGGAUGCAACAAGCCAAUAUAGGAAUUUUUGUUGCCUAUUUUUGAUGGUUCUUGUUGUCAUACAUGUAAUAAACUUUUACAUUACAUUUCCAUCUAUGCCACAUAAUCUAUGCCUUGCAAGUUGAUAACAAAGAAAAGUACAGUGGGGCAUUGUGUUAGGUCAGUAGCCUAUUGUGUUGCACUAGAAGUUGUAAACAAUAGUAUGCACCCAGGGCAAACAUACGUCAUGAGAGCCAUAAUGCCAAUAUUUUGGGUAGCUUACUAUUAUGUACUACUAGGUGUACUUAGUUGUAAAUAAUACCAGGCUCACGUGUCAAACAUUAAAGCAUUUUUUACACGUGCUUGCAACAAUUUAAAUGUUUAUUAUGAUGUAUUCAGGUGGAAGGGAGUGGGGAUGAGACAUAGACAGGGAGCAAUGCCACACCCACUGAAGAUACCAAUAAUGAUGCUAUCAUUGAAACCAAUGGCCUAAUCACUAAUAAUGAUCCUAUUACUGAAUUGUAUGAUCUUGAAACUGACCCUCGACUUCUCAUAGAGACUAAAAAUGAAUAACGAAGACAGUUGCUCGUGUACUUCAGAGGAUGCAAGUGGUCUCCUGAUGGUAGUGGUACUUGUAUAUUGACUUACAAUAAUGACAAUAUACUGGGAUUGUAUAAUCUUCCAAAUGAGCUCUAUAGCUCUUCAUUCCCUAAUCACAUUCAACCAGAAAUGGAUCCUGUUGUUUAUGCUAGAGAAGGUGAAAUUAUAUAUGAUUAUGCCUGGUUCCCUAGAAUGUCAUCCUAUGAUUAUGCCACUUGCUGGUCAGUGUGUGAUCAUUUUACACGUGUAAAUUCAAAUAUAAUUAUGUGUAGAUGAUGUAAGAAUUAAAAUAAAUGUUAAUUGAUACAGUUGCAUGUACCUUUACCAUAAAAAUUUUAAAAUUGCAUAUUUUAAAUGUUCACUUCUUGCUAGGGCAAAUUUUCCAUUAUGCACUGCAACAAACAUGUACACAAAGGAUAAAUGUGAUGAAAAUGAGGGAUAUUAUCUGAAAAACUACAUGGAAGUUGCCACAGUUUCCUAGGAAUAUUGCAGCUAUUUCUGUGGACCAGAGCAUGAUGAUGACAUGGGCCUAUACUGCUACAAAUGGUGGCCACCAAAG
Molecule: long non-coding RNA, 2451 nt
Organism: Amphimedon queenslandica
Lineage: Eukaryota; Metazoa; Porifera; Demospongiae; Haplosclerida; Niphatidae
Exons: 3
Source: RefSeq, a predicted model, not a curated record